This 2244-nucleotide long non-coding RNA is filed under the name Marmota monax (woodchuck). The record is from RNAcentral. Lineage: Eukaryota; Metazoa; Chordata; Mammalia; Rodentia; Sciuridae.
AUGACCUCUGUUCUACCGUCUCCUUCUAUGACAUCAACUUUUUGAGUUUCCCCAUACGAAUGAGAACAUAUAGUAUCUGUCUCUGUUUCUGUACCUGGCUUAUUUCACCUAAUGUUCUGUCCCCAAAUUCCAUCUAUGUUGUUGCAAAUGACAGGAUUUCACCUCCUUUCAUAGCUGAAUAAUAUUAUCCCUCUUCUUAAUUAUCCAGGAGCCACAGCUCUUUCUAUAUGCAAGUCUUGGCAGGUCACUCUACGGCUUUAAAUCCCUGAUUGCUCAGCUGCCUGUGAUGAAGCCCUCACCUCUACCACGGCUAGGCUUCCUGCUUGGACUCUUGGCUACUUUUCCAGCUUUCUCUCUCUCUAACCCCACCAUGGCUUCCUUCACUCCAACUUCUGUAGAUGCCAGCUUUCCUAGACCAUUCACCAGCCCAAGGCUAAUUCCCAGCGACCCAGGGGCUUCCUGGACUUGGUGAAACCCAGGAUAGUCCUGGGCAACCGGGAUAGUUGGCCACCUGUUUUGCCUUGGAUCUCUGCAUAUUUCCAUCUUAUUCUUCUCUGAACUGUUCCAACUCACUUCCUAUUUACUACUUAUUCCCAGGUCUGUGCUUGGAUGUCACUUCUGUAACUCCCCGAGGAGUGGCUUACUUGUCCCUUCUGGGGGCUGGCACAGUACACACUCCUUGCAGCCAGCAUGGUAUUAUCAUAGCUGCUGUCCACUCCCCAGCUGUACUAGCGCCUUGAAAGCAGGAGUAGGUUUUUCUCACACCUACACACUAGGCCCUCUGUAUCCACAGGUCCUAUAUCCUAGAGUUCAACCAAUCAGAGAUCACAAAAAUCGGAAAAAGACAAUUUUCCUGGUGCCAAAGUAUACUUUGUAGUUAGGUCCACCAUGAUCAUCUCUGUACUGGUCACGUACAAGCUGCCUUUUCUUGUCGUUAUUCCUUAUGUCAUAUAGUAUAACUGCUUAUAUUAUUUACAACAUAUUUACAUUGUGUUAGUUAUUACAAGUCAUCUAGAAACAUUUUAAAGUAUAUGGGAGGGGCUGGGGGGUCUAGCUUACUGAGCCCAUGCUUAGCACACACAAGACUCUAACCACAAUUCCUGGCACCAAAAGAAAUAAAAAGUUACAUGCAAAUAUAUGUAGGUUAUAGGCAGAUAUCACACCAUUUGUCCACAAGAGACUUGAGCAUCAGUUGAUUUUGAUGUCAGAAUUCACAUUCUGAGGGACAACUCUAUUCCCAAAACCUAGCACAGUAGGUAUUCUAUAAAGUUUUGCUGAAUUAAUGAAUAGCAAUAUCAUCUUUAUUGAUUGUUUCUAGUUCAUACCACUGUGUUGUGACGUACAGACAGUUAAGGGGCACACAAGGAACCAUCCUGAGGCAGAGUCUAUUCCAAAAUAUUUGCAAAAAUAUUUCCCAGCCCACAUGUACUUCCAGAACCUUGCCACUUUCCAGAGUCUGUCACCUCUGCUUGAAAUUGGACAAGUCUCUCUGGCCAACGAGGGAUGAAAGAAGUGACACUAUGAGACUUCCAAGAUCAAGAGGAGAUUCAGAUUCCAUCUGGCUUAGCCCCAUGCCCUAAGGCCCAGGCCAUAUGGAGGGAAACGGGCCCCACCCUCAGCCUAGCUGAGUGCCCACCUGUCCCUCCGCCAUCUUGGAAGUGGAAUGUGGACUAGACUCAAGCUCCCUGUAAAGAUCCCUGCUCAAACUUCAGAUUCUUGAAGAAAAUAGCUGACUUCUCCAUGCAGCAAAUAAAUUUGGAAUGCUCUGUGAUACAGGAAGAGAGAACUCAAAUGCAGCUAAAGCAAAGCACAGAUGCUGGCACUGGCUGAGCCCUUUUUCUCUUGGUAGAUCCCUGGUGCAGAAGAUCCAAAAGGGCCUGGGGGUAGACACUAGUCUGGCCCAUUUGAACAUCUGCCCACAAUGUGACUGGCUCUUGACAUAAUCAAAGGGUGCACUGGGCCAAGCAAGGUCAGACGGGCGAGGAUGCAGGCCACCUCAGCUUCCAUACCUGUUUGUGGCUCCCGGGAGCAACCACGGGGACUCAGGCUCCAGGGAGAGGGUGCCCUUCCUGAGAGCCAGCUGCUUUGCCCAAGGACAUAAGGGCUAAUUGCAGGAUAACACACACUAGUGCCACCCAGGAUGGUGCCAACACAUUAAUUGUAAUUUGGUCAUGUUUGGUCCCUACCUUUCAUUUGGACAUUCAAACCAUCAUGCCCUGUGUCAUCCUGCCAGGCAGGUAACUG